GAAGAUCAUAUGCUCUGCCGCACAACUUCAAAGUAGUCGGCUCUGAAGGCAGGAAGGUACCAACAGAAUUAUCCACACGCCAGAAUGCCAAUUUGGAAGAUCGAUUCAUCAUGCCAAUAUUAACACAAUCUCUCAAAUCACAUGGUGAAACUAAAGAAGCUAAGAUGCACCAGGCAGACGAUAUUGGAGGUUCCAUACUUCCAGGAGAGACAACACAGCCCACUGCAACAUAACCUUUCGGUGCUAUAGGGAACCAAAUAGAACAAGUGCCAUCUUCUUUAGAUAAAAACGUGGUUGACCCCA
RNAcentral lists this unclassified non-coding RNA (303 nucleotides) under Hevea brasiliensis (rubber tree). Lineage: Eukaryota; Viridiplantae; Streptophyta; Magnoliopsida; Malpighiales; Euphorbiaceae. The record is from RNAcentral.